ACGGACAAACCACACACGACACGCGCAGGAAAAAUAGCGAGAAACAAGUGGGGGGCAGCAGAUAAUCCCUCGUUUCACCCAUCUCUCCCCACCGGCGGCGGCGGCGGCGACCGGCGAGGAGUAGCCGGAAUCUCCCAAUCGCGAAUUUCCGCAGGCGGCCAUGGGCGGGCAUGGCGGCCUCAACAUCCUGCCGCAGAAGCGGUGGAACGUCUACAACUUCGACAACCGCGAGAAGGUCCGCAACGACGAGGCGACCGCCGCCCGCGAGGAGCAGCUCCAGCGCGAGGCCGAGCGCCGCCGCGAGUCGGACCUCCGCCUCGCCGCGCUCCGCCGCAACCGGGGCCUCGUCCAGGCGGAGCCGCCCUCUACCACCGCCCCGCCUGCUCCCGACGGCGCCGCGGCGGAGGGUCCGGCGGACGCCCUUCCGUCCCCGGUCUCCGACGGAGACCACAUCAACCUGUUUUCGGGGAGGUCCGGCCCCGCCGCCGACUUCGCCGCGCUCGCCUCGGCCAGCGGCGGGAGGGGCGCCGCGCGUGAGCGGGACCCCGACGCCAACCCUAACCAGAAGAACCCUAAGAAGAGGAAGGAGGAGGAGGAGGUCAGGGCGGUGGGGCCCGACGAGGAGAAGUACAGGUUGGGCUACGGCCUCGCCGGCAAGGGCGUCGCGGUGCCCUGGUACAUGUCGAGCCCGGCGGCUGCAGCAGCCAAGGAGGGCAGGGCCAGAGACGCAGGGGAAGGGAGCGGGGGAAAGAGGAGUGGAGGGAAGAAGAGCAUCGAGGAGCUGAGGGAGGAGAGAAGGAAGAGGGAGGCCAAGGAGAAGGAGCGUGAGCGUGCUGUGCUGGCUGCUGCGGGGAGGAAGGAGAGGCAGGCUGAUCGGGGGCGCCAGUCGAGAUGGGCUCGGUGAUGUGAGGAUUUUCAUGGUAUAAUGUGCAGGAUUGCAGAGAAUGCUUAUUGAAGGAUAACUCAUGGAACUGGAUAUGACCUGACUACGUUAUCAAGUAGAUGUAGAUGAUUGCAUGUGGCAGCAAGAAUUACACUGUUCAUUUGCCAAGGAAAGGAUACUCAGUGAGCAAUUAAAGAGUAUCUUGAUUAGUAACAGCAAGAUUUUUUUUUUUUUUUGACAAACCAAUUUAUGUGGGAUUCUCUUUUGUAAAAUACUCACGGUAAAUGCAGUGAAGCUAGCAGCUCAUGUAACACUAGAGAUGUUUGCUUGUAAAGCUAUUUACAUUUUCCUGAUGUAAAGACUUUGUUUGCUUUUUUUGUAGUUUCAUCAAUGUCAGAUAACUUCAACUUGUUGAGUACUAUCUAGAGCAUCCUAAAACAUAUCUACAAGUUAUGUUGCAUCCUACUGCCAGGAGUGUUGUUUUGUGAGCAGUUUGCCACUUCAUGAUGCAUCAGGCAGGCAUCAAGGUUUAGACUGGAGCACAACGGAUAACAUGUAGUAAACUGAGAAGUCUAUGCACCCAAGUCAUGUUCUGAUUGAGCAGUGAGUGUAUGAAUAUGGAUUUGUCAAAUGUGUAAUUUGCUUUUUCUUCGGUCCUGUAUCCUAGUGCAAACAUUACUACCUCUGCCCUGCAAUACAAAGGAUUCUAGCUAGUUAUAUUUCAGGGUGGAGGUAGCAUUAUACUUCUGAUACUUCAGCUCUGCUUAUUAAUCUGCUGCUCCUGACUGCCCCUAAUCAUGUUGGUUGGUGUUUCUGUAAAGCUUCUUUUCAGGCUUUCUGUUUUCUUUA
Panicum virgatum (switchgrass) is the source of this 1732-nucleotide RNA transcript. It is a transcript of the gene named leukocyte receptor cluster member 1-like, with no coding region annotated. NCBI's taxonomy places the organism in Eukaryota, Viridiplantae, Streptophyta, Magnoliopsida, Poales, Poaceae. The transcript is spliced from 3 exons. The record is from RefSeq and is a predicted model, not a curated record.